CAUGUACUUAGCACUGGAAGUUUCUUGCCAGUGUAAUUCUACUGUCUGGUUAUAAAUUGUCUUGUGCUUUAAUGCAUUGCAUACUUCCACAUUUCUUCUCUGAGACUGAUGAGUGGAACAAUCUGGAAAAGACUUGUUAUUAUCAGGUGACUACAAACAAAACAAGACGCCAAAAAACAUAAGCAGAAGAGGAAGAUGAUGUUGGUGUCUUCUGGAACAUCCAAAAUGAAACCCAUGCUUAUUUCAAGAAAAUGAAAUGAGAACUUGAAUAUGUAAGUAUGUGUACAUCUGCUCCUUUAGGUGAGGGUAGCUUCUAUUCCUUUGAAGAACUGACAUUC
RNAcentral lists this long non-coding RNA (338 nucleotides) under Parus major (Great Tit). RNAcentral's name for it is "lncRNA (ENSPMJG00000016031.1)". Lineage: Eukaryota; Metazoa; Chordata; Aves; Passeriformes; Paridae. The record is from RNAcentral.